CGCAGUUUUAUCAGACAGGUUGUUUCAAACAGACUCAGCUACUUCCUCAUCUGACACAUUUACUGUUGUGUAGUGAAGCAGUUCGUAUGUGCAGCUGAUAAUUCAGGUGACAUAAAGAGGAACAGAUCUCUGCUCGCUCGCCUCUAAACAAGUAAACAUCAGGUUGAUUCAAUGCAUCCAGCAAGUUGUUCAGCAGGAAAACUUCAUCCUCACCUGCUUGUUCAUGGUUCCUGAGAACAGCUGACAGACAAAACAUCUCACAAGAACAGGGAGAAGAUGAUCUGGAUCCUGCUGCUCCUCGUUCUGGCCUCCUCUGUCUGUGGUUAGUUUGAUGUUUAAGGCUCAGUACAGAUCCUGAAAAGAUGGUGCUGGAGGUCUCUGAACAUUUUGUCUUGAAUGUGACUCAGACGCCUCAUGGAGGGACCAGCCAUGUGUUCCUCACCACACCCAAGAUAACUGAAGGUGUAAAACACACACCAGGAGGUCCAAAGAAGAAGAAGUUAGAUCAUAUGAUUGAAACAAAGUUAAAACAACUCUCGGAGCUGCAAACUGCAGAGUUCUAAUAGUUGCUGGUCUAAUAUUUCUAGUAGAUGCAGUAUGCGUUUGUUGAGGUAAAAGAAGAUCACGACCGGGACAGAAGUUUCUUCACUGAGCUUCUGAUAAAGAUCAGUACCAAGAGUGAGUCAUAUCAACUCAUUCAGCUGAACCACUUCCAUCAGAUCCAAACUACUAGAGGGAAACAUCAUAAUUAAUGUGUGGUUGACUUCAUCCUCACAGUAACAGUGUUGAUCAGAGAAGUGAGUGUUUGGUGUGUCAGCUUGUCUUCUUUGUGAUGUUUUUCCUUCCUCUCACUGAUUCUAAUACAACUUACAGACAAUAACUUCAACUUAAUGAUGAUGUGUAAUCCAUCACAGACAACUAGAUGCUUUUA
Thunnus maccoyii (southern bluefin tuna) is the source of this 931-nucleotide long non-coding RNA. RefSeq lists it as uncharacterized. NCBI's taxonomy places the organism in Eukaryota, Metazoa, Chordata, Actinopteri, Scombriformes, Scombridae. The transcript has 6 exons. The record is from RefSeq and is a predicted model, not a curated record.